RNAcentral lists this ribosomal RNA (305 nucleotides) under uncultured bacterium. RNAcentral describes it as "bacterial SSU rRNA". It matches the Rfam family "Bacterial small subunit ribosomal RNA", at positions 333 to 655 of the family's 1533-position model. The record is from RNAcentral.
UUUUACCUGCGGGGGGCAGCAGUGGGGGAUAUUGCACAAUGGGGGAAACCCUGAUGCAGCGACGCCGCGUGGGUGAAGAAGCGCCUCGGCGCGUAAAGCCCUGUCAGCAGGGAAGAAAAUGACGGUACCUGAAAAAGAAGCCCCGGCUAACUACGUGCCAGCAGCCGCGGUAAUACGUAGGGGGCAAGCGUUAUCCGGAUUUACUGGGUGUAAAGGGAGCGUAGACGGAAAGGCAAGUCAGAAGUGAAAGCCCAAGGCUCAACCAUGGGACUGCUUUUGAAACUGUCAAACUAGAGUACGGGAGA